CCCUCUAGAAAGGGACUUUGCUUGAAAGAUUUGUUACUCUUCCGGGUACACUAAAACACACAUUCCUGAACAGAAGGGCGCACUCGCCGAAGGCUUUUGCGCUGUGCGGCGUGUGGCCUUUCGGGAUCCCGUCUUCGUUGCAGGGAGCAAUCAUUUGAUCCUCCAUUUAGAAUCUGCGUAGAAAAGUUUAAAUGCGUAUUAGAAACCAGGGCAUUUGCUCAUUAAAGAGUUUUCAAAACACAAA
Long non-coding RNA from Lemur catta (Ring-tailed lemur), 244 nucleotides. RefSeq lists it as uncharacterized. The transcript has 2 exons. The record is from RefSeq and is a predicted model, not a curated record. Lineage: Eukaryota; Metazoa; Chordata; Mammalia; Primates; Lemuridae.